This 1342-nucleotide ribosomal RNA is filed under the name uncultured bacterium. Its description in RNAcentral is "bacterial SSU rRNA". It matches the Rfam family "Bacterial small subunit ribosomal RNA", at positions 28 to 1381 of the family's 1533-position model. The record is from RNAcentral.
GAUGAACGCUUGCGGCGUGCUUAACACAUGCAAGUCGAACGAUGAAGCCCAGCUUGCUGGGUGGAUUAGUGGCGAACGGGUGAGUAACACGUGAGUAACCUGCCCUUAACUCUGGGAUAAGCCUGGGAAACUGGGUCUAAUACCGGAUAGGAGCGCCUACCGCAUGGUGGGUGUUGGAAAGAUUUAUCGGUUUUGGAUGGACUCGCGGCCUAUCAGCUUGUUGGUGAGGUAAUGGCUCACCAAGGCGACGACGGGUAGCCGGCCUGAGAGGGUGACCGGCCACACUGGGACUGAGACACGGCCCAGACUCCUACGGGAGGCAGCAGUGGGGAAUAUUGCACAAUGGGCGCAAGCCUGAUGCAGCGACGCCGCGUGAGGGAUGACGGCCUUCGGGUUGUAAACCUCUUUCAGUAGGGAAGAAGCGAAAGUGACGGUACCUGCAGAAGAAGCACCGGCUAACUACGUGCCAGCAGCCGCGGUAAUACGUAGGGUGCGAGCGUUAUCCGGAAUUAUUGGGCGUAAAGAGCUCGUAGGCGGUUUGUCGCGUCUGUCGUGAAAGUCCGGGGCUUAACCCCGGAUCUGCGGUGGGUACGGGCAGACUAGAGUGCAGUAGGGGAGACUGGAAUUCCUGGUGUAGCGGUGGAAUGCGCAGAUAUCAGGAGGAACACCGAUGGCGAAGGCAGGUCUCUGGGCUGUAACUGACGCUGAGGAGCGAAAGCAUGGGGAGCGAACAGGAUUAGAUACCCUGGUAGUCCAUGCCGUAAACGUUGGGCACUAGGUGUGGGGACCAUUCCACGGUUUCCGCGCCGCAGCUAACGCAUUAAGUGCCCCGCCUGGGGAGUACGGCCGCAAGGCUAAAACUCAAAGGAAUUGACGGGGGCCCGCACAAGCGGCGGAGCAUGCGGAUUAAUUCGAUGCAACGCGAAGAACCUUACCAAGGCUUGACAUGUUCUCGAUCGCCGUAGAGAUACGGUUUCCCCUUUGGGGCGGGUUCACAGGUGGUGCAUGGUGUCGUCAGCUCGUGUCGUGAGAUGUUGGGUUAAGUCCCGCAACGAGCGCAACCCUCGUUCCAUGUUGCCAGCACGUAAUGGUGGGGACUCAUGGGAGACUGCCGGGGUCAACUCGGAGGAAGGUGAGGACGACGUCAAAUCAUCAUGCCCCUUAUGUCUUGGGCUUCACGCAUGCUACAAUGGCCGGUACAAUGGGUUGCGAUACUGUGAGGUGGAGCUAAUCCCAAAAAGCCGGUCUCAGUUCGGAUUGGGGUCUGCAACUCGACCCCAUGAAGUCGGAGUCGCUAGUAAUCGCAGAUCAGCAACGCUGCGGUGAAUACGUUCCCGGGCCU